CGUAGGUGGCAAGCGUUGUCCGGAAUUAUUGGGCGUAAAGCGCGCGCAGGCGGUCCUUUAAGUCUGAUGUGAAAGCCCACGGCUCAACCGUGGAGGGUCAUUGGAAACUGGGGACUUGAGUGCAGAAGAGGAGAGCGGAAUUCCACGUGUAGCGGUGAAAUGCGUAGAGAUGUGGAGGAACACCAGUGGCGAAGGCGGCUCUCUGGUCUGUAACUGACGCUGAGGCGCGAAAGCGUGGGGAGCAAACAGGAUUAGAUACCCUGGUAGUCCACGCCGUAAACGAUGAGUGCUAAGUGUUAGAGGGUUUCCGCCCUUUAGUGCUGCAGCAAACGCAUUAAGCACUCCGCCUGGGGAGUACGGCCGCAAGGCUG
RNAcentral lists this ribosomal RNA (371 nucleotides) under uncultured organism. Its description in RNAcentral is "bacterial SSU rRNA". It matches the Rfam family "Bacterial small subunit ribosomal RNA", at positions 526 to 896 of the family's 1533-position model. The record is from RNAcentral.